RNAcentral lists this transfer RNA (69 nucleotides) under Ictidomys tridecemlineatus (thirteen-lined ground squirrel). RNAcentral describes it as "Spermophilus tridecemlineatus (thirteen-lined ground squirrel) tRNA". It matches the Rfam family "tRNA". Rfam says of the family: Transfer RNA (tRNA) molecules are approximately 80 nucleotides in length. The record is from Rfam by way of RNAcentral. Lineage: Eukaryota; Metazoa; Chordata; Mammalia; Rodentia; Sciuridae.
GGAGUUGUGGCUCAGCAGCAGAGCACUUGCCUAGCAUGUAUGAAGCCCUGGGUUCAAUUCUCAGCACCG